CCUACGGGAGGCAGCAGUGAGGAAUAUUGGUCAAUGGGCGAGAGCCUGAACCAGCCAAGUCGCGUGAAGGAAGACUGCCCUACGGGUUGUAAACCUCUUUUAUCAAGGAGUAAAGUGAGGCACGUGUGCCUUUUUGAAUGUACCUUAUGAAUAAGCAUCGGCUAACUCCGUGCCAGCAGCCGCGGUAAUACGGAGGAUCCGAGCGUUAUCCGGAUUUAUUGGGUUUAAAGGGAGCGUAGAUGGGUGGUGAAGUCAGUUGUGAAAGUUGGCGGCUCAACCCUAGAAUUGCAUUUGAUACUGGCAGCCUUGAGUACAGUUGAGGUAGGCGGAAUGCGUGGUGUAGCGGUGAAAUGCAUAGAUAUCACGAAGAACUCCGAUUGCGAAGGCAGCCUACUAGACUGCCACUGACAUUGAUGCACGAAAGUGUGGGUAUCAAACAGGAUUAGAUACCCUGGUAGUC
This 460-nucleotide ribosomal RNA is filed under the name uncultured bacterium. RNAcentral's name for it is "partial 16S ribosomal RNA". It matches the Rfam family "Bacterial small subunit ribosomal RNA", at positions 338 to 795 of the family's 1533-position model. The record is from RNAcentral.